UUUGCUUCUCAGCAUUUUGGCUAAGAUUAAGUAUAGUAUUUGUUCUUAUCAGUUUAAUAUAUGAAUUUUAAAUGGAGUAUAAUCUAUAAAAAUACUGAAUCACUGUGGUGUAGACCUAAA
This 120-nucleotide small nuclear RNA is filed under the name Cervus elaphus hippelaphus. RNAcentral describes it as "U2 spliceosomal RNA". It matches the Rfam family "U2 spliceosomal RNA". Rfam says of the family: U2 is a small nuclear RNA (snRNA) component of the spliceosome (involved in pre-mRNA splicing). Complementary binding between U2 snRNA (in an area lying towards the 5' end but 3' to hairpin I) and the branchpoint sequence (BPS) of the intron results the bulging out of an unpaired adenosine, on the BPS, which initiates a nucleophilic attack at the intronic 5' splice site, thus starting the first of two transesterification reactions that mediate splicing. Lineage: Eukaryota; Metazoa; Chordata; Mammalia; Artiodactyla; Cervidae. The record is from Rfam by way of RNAcentral. RNAcentral also lists the same sequence under 1 other name.